RNAcentral lists this ribosomal RNA (433 nucleotides) under uncultured bacterium. Its description in RNAcentral is "partial 16S ribosomal RNA". It matches the Rfam family "Bacterial small subunit ribosomal RNA", at positions 29 to 507 of the family's 1533-position model. The record is from RNAcentral.
AACGAACGCUGGCGGCAGGCCUAACACAUGCAAGUCGAGCGAGGACUUCGGUUCUAGCGGCGGACGGGUGAGUAACGCGUGGGAAUGUGCCCUUCUCUACGGAAUAGCUCUGGGAAACUGGGAGUAAUACCGUAUACGCCCUAUUGGGGAAAGAUUUAUCGGAGAAGGAUCAGCCCGCGUGGGAUUAGGUAGUUGGUGGGGUAAUGGCCUACCAAGCCGACGAUCCAUAGCUGGUUAGAGAGGAUGAUCAGCCACACUGGGACUGAGACACGGCCCAGACUCCUACGGGAGGCAGCAGUGGGGAAUCUUAGACAAUGGGGGCAACCAUGAUGGAGCCAUGCCGCGUGAGUGAUGAAGGCCUUAGGGUUGUAAAGCUCUUUCAGCUGGGAAGAUAAUGACGGUACCAGAAGAAGAAGCCACGGCUAACUCCGUG